Long non-coding RNA from Zingiber officinale, 2179 nucleotides. RefSeq lists it as uncharacterized. The transcript is spliced from 3 exons. The record is from RefSeq and is a predicted model, not a curated record. Lineage: Eukaryota; Viridiplantae; Streptophyta; Magnoliopsida; Zingiberales; Zingiberaceae.
UGCCCUCUCCUUCCAACUCCUCCUCUCACGUCCUCUCCAGCAAACCCCUCUCCGGCGAACUCCUCUCCGCGAACCUCCUCUCCUCUGAAUUCCUUCACGCAAAUGCCCUAGUCACGGUCGCGGGGAGAAGAAGCAAGGAUUCUUCUCGGUGCUAAGGGAGGAGGUUGUGAGGGGGCUUUCUCCAUCACGGUCGCGGGGAUGGCUGAGGUCGGAGAGCCCGCGGCGGAGCACAUGACCUUCACCGUCACGAAGACUUCUGAGGGCUACGUCCGGCCGGCGGAGAUGACGCCUCCGGGAUCGUUGACGCUCGACUGGAUCAGACGAUACCCGACCCACCGCCGCCUCGUCGACUCCCUCCACAUUUACAAGCACGGCCAGAACCCCGCCGAGGUCAUCUGCGAGGCGCUAGCCCGGGCCCUGGUCCCGUACUACCCGAUCGCCGGCCGGAUCGUGCAAAUGGAAGGCUGCGAGCCCCGGAUCGAGUGCACCGGGGAGGGCGUCUGGUUCGUGGCCGCCUUCGCCAACUGCAGCCUCGCCGACGUCAACUAUCUGGAGCGCCCCAUAAUGCUCGAGUAGAACGACAUCCUACCCUACACCGAACUCGAGACCAGUCCUGCCAAUACCUUGAUGAUGAUUCAGGUUACUAAGUUCACAUGUGGUGGGUUCCUCAUUGGUGUAAGGUUCAACCACGCAUCCGCUGAUGGCUUAGGAUUGGCACAAGUCAUUUCCGCCAUUGGUGACCUUAUAUUCUGAAGAUUGAAAAGGGCUACUAUGGCAAUUCUAAAGGUUGUGAGUAUUUGAUAGUAUAUAGGUGGUAAUAAUAUCAUAUUUCACAUGAUUUACUACGGUUAACAUGUUUACUGGUUCAAAAAUACCAUGUUUACUGGUUCAAAAAUGGUUGCUAUACUGAUGUGUAAAGAAGGAAGAACGACAUCUUAUCAAGCAUAUGGACGUUGUUUUGUGCAAAAGAAUCAUGAGUUUCAAGUAAUAAUUAAGAUUUUCAAUUUGUUCAAGGCUGCGGCCCGAAUUGCAUGUUAAUUAGCUUCCUUCUAGUGAUUUGAUGGAAAAGGAGAUAGUGGGUUGGAUAAGAAAUGGUUUUCAAUCAAAUACGAAUCCAAUAUUAGUACUACAUUCAUAACUUUACUUAUUAACCAUAGACAAUACCAUAAUCAUGAUGAAAAUUAACGACACUGCUUUUAUAUUUUGGAUGGCUAUGAUACAGAGUCAAAAUCUUACCAACCAUAUCUAACUAUUGGCUGUAGCAGUAAACAUGGUAAUAUUUUGUAGAAAAUACCAUGUUUACUGGUUCAAAAAUGAUUUUUUGCUACCUUCAUAUUGACAUGUUGAAUUUUUAAAUCCUUUCUUUGCACUCUAGAAUCAAAGCCAUAUUUUAUAUGAAUAGUUUAGUACAUCGGAAAACUACAUUUGCUACUGGAAAAUUUCAAGUCAAAUUGUGUUUGAUAAAGCUACAAGUUCUGCAAACCAAAGAAAUCAGAACAUAUGCUGAUUUUGACUUUAGUUCAUGUGUAAGAACUCAAAUGAAAUAUAUGCUGUUCUUUUUGCACUGCAUCUCUAAUUAUGUAUUUACAUCUCACAGUGGUUUCCCUAGCAUCUCCAAUUAUACUAUUCUUUUUGCUAUAUUUCCAUGGUGGAAACAAAGUAGCACAUGUAUAGGUGUUUCUCACCUCAAAAUAUAUUAGGAGAGGGUGGAUUUGGUUCUGUUUACAAAGGGUGCUUACCUGAUGGAAGAGAAGUGGCCGUGAAGCAAUUAAAAAUUGAAAGUAGGCAAGGUGACCAUGAGUUCAAAUCUGAAGUGGAGAUUAUCAGCCGUGUGCACCAUCGCCAUUUGGUUUCUCUUGUAGGGUAUUGCAUAUCAUACGAUCAAAGGCUGCUGGUGUAUGAUUUUGUGCCCAAUGGAACACUUGAAUCUCAUCUUCAUGGGAAGAACACAAGACCUGUAAUGGAUUGGGCAACCAGGGUGAAGUCGUCAAUCCAUUUUGAUCAAUAUAUCUAGUAGAAGUAAGCAUGCAGAUCGUUGUCUUCGAGGCCAGCUAGUUAUUUUGUGCUUUUUUUGUUUUAAAUUUGAAUGUUACUAUCUACUUUGAAACAGAAAUAUUCAGUCUUUGUGUAUAGUUGAAUUCUCCUGUAAAUACUAAUACUUUGUAGUUGAAUUCUAUUG